AGGGAAUCUUCGGCAAUGGGGGCAACCCUGACCGAGCAACGCCGCGUGAGUGAAGAAGGUUUUCGGAUCGUAAAGCUCUGUUGUAAGUCAAGAACGGGUGUGAGAGUGGAAAGUUCACACUGUGACGGUAGCUUACCAGAAAGGGACGGCUAACUACGUGCCAGCAGCCGCGGUAAUACGUAGGUCCCGAGCGUUGUCCGGAUUUAUUGGGCGUAAAGCGAGCGCAGGCGGUUUGAUAAGUCUGAAGUUAAAGGCUGUGGCUCAACCAUAGUUCGCUUUGGAAACUGUCAAACUUGAGUGCAGAAGGGGAGAGUGGAAUUCCAUGUGUAGCGGUGAAAUGCGUAGAUAUAUGGAGGAACACCGGUGGCGAAAGCGGCUCCCUGGUCUGUAACUGACGCUGAGGCUCGAAAGCGUGGGGAGCGAACAGGAUUUAGAUACCCCUGG
RNAcentral lists this ribosomal RNA (444 nucleotides) under uncultured bacterium. RNAcentral's name for it is "partial 16S ribosomal RNA". It matches the Rfam family "Bacterial small subunit ribosomal RNA", at positions 356 to 790 of the family's 1533-position model. The record is from RNAcentral.